This 253-nucleotide ribosomal RNA is filed under the name uncultured bacterium. Its description in RNAcentral is "partial 16S ribosomal RNA". It matches the Rfam family "Bacterial small subunit ribosomal RNA", at positions 524 to 776 of the family's 1533-position model. The record is from RNAcentral.
UACGUAGGUGGCAAGCGUUGUCCGGAUUUACUGGGCGUAAAGAGCGCGCAGGCGGUCGUUCAAGUCGCGUGUGAAAGCCCCCGGCUCAACUGGGGAGGGUCACGCGAUACUGAUCGACUCGAAGGCAGGAGAGGGAAGUGGAAUUCCCGGUGUAGUGGUGAAAUGCGUAGAUAUCGGGAGGAACACCAGUGGCGAAGGCGGGUUGCUGGGCUGACACUGACGCUGAACUGCGAAAGCUAGGGGAGCGAACGGG